RNAcentral lists this unclassified non-coding RNA (334 nucleotides) under soil metagenome. RNAcentral's name for it is "partial contains 5.8S ribosomal RNA, internal transcribed spacer 2, and large subunit ribosomal RNA". The stretch from base 1 to 120 matches the Rfam family "5.8S ribosomal RNA", at positions 35 to 154 of the family's 154-position model. The record is from RNAcentral.
GAUGAAGAACGUAGCGAAAUGCGAUAAGUAGUGUGAAUUGCAGAAUUCAGUGAAUCAUCGAAUCUUUGAACGCACAUUGCGCCUGCCAGCACUCUGGCAGGCAUGCCUGUUCGAGCGUCAUUUCAACCAUCAAGCCCUAGGCUUGCGUUGGAGCCCUGCGGCUGCCGCAGGCCCCUAAAAGCAGUGGCGGGCUCGCUAUCACACCGAGUGCAGUAGAUUACUCUUCGCUCAGGGCGUGUGGCGGGUUCCAGCCGUGAAACCCCCUACUUCUCAAGGUUGACCUCGGAUCAGGUAGGAAUACUCGCUGAACUUAAGCAUAUCAAUAAGCGGAGGA